Pelobates cultripes (western spadefoot toad) is the source of this 305-nucleotide non-coding RNA. The record is from the annotation of a GenBank genome assembly. NCBI's taxonomy places the organism in Eukaryota, Metazoa, Chordata, Amphibia, Anura, Pelobatidae.
GUGAAAGUCUGAUUGAGGAGGGAAGGGAGUUCCACAGAAUAGGUGCAGCCCUGGAGAAGUCUUGAAGGCGAGCAUCAGAGGUGGGGAUCCGGGCAGAGGAUAGAAGUAGGUCUUGGGCUGAGCGCAGGGGUCUCGACGGGACAUACUUGUGUAUGAGGGAGGAUAAGUAUGUUGGAGCAGCAUUAUGUAGGGAUUUGUAAGCAAGCGCCAGAAUUUUGAAUUGGGCCCUAUAUCUAACUGGAAGCCAAUGCAGGGACUGACAGAGCGUGGAGGCGUGGGAGGUGCGACCGGACAGGAAAAUAAGC